AGUGAGGAAUAUUGGACAAUGGUCGGGAGACUGAUCCAGCCAUGCCGCGUGCAGGAAGACUGCCCUAUGGGUUGUAAACUGCUUUUUUACGGGAAGAAUAAUACCCACGUGUGGGUAGAUGACGGUACCGUACGAAUAAGGACCGGCUAACUCCGUGCCAGCAGCCGCGGUAAUACGGAGGGUCCGAGCGUUAUCCGGAAUUAUUGGGUUUAAAGGGUCCGCAGGCGGGCCAGUAAGUCAGGGGUGAAAGUUUGCGGCUUAACCGUAAAAUUGCCUUUGAUACUGCUGGUCUUGAGUUGCGGUGAAGUGGCCGGAAUAUGUGGUGUAGCGGUGAAAUGCAUAGAUAUCACAUAGAACACCGAUUGCGAAGGCAGGUCACUAACCGCCGACUGACGCUGAUGGACGAAAGCGUGGGGAGCGAACGGGAUUAGAUACCCCGGUAGUCCACGCCGUAAACGAUGGACACUAGCUGUCGGGCCUUUUUGGUUCGGCGGCCCAGCGAAAGUGAUAAGUGUCCCACCUGGGGAGUACGUCGGCAACGAUG
RNAcentral lists this ribosomal RNA (544 nucleotides) under uncultured Bacteroidota bacterium. RNAcentral's name for it is "bacterial SSU rRNA". It matches the Rfam family "Bacterial small subunit ribosomal RNA", at positions 353 to 896 of the family's 1533-position model. Lineage: Bacteria; Pseudomonadati; Bacteroidota. The record is from RNAcentral.